AAGACCAAACUGCGAGACCAUGGCACCCAGUGCGGAGGGCACGGCCGAGUCCCUCCACCACAUACAAGCCUGGGCUCUAGGGCUCCUGCCAGCCCUGCAGAGACUUGUCCCUGAACUGGUCCUGAUUCCUGAAGAGCCUGUCUUUCUGCUCACUCAUCCCUCAUUCAGUCACCACACACACAGCCAUGCACAUCACCUCUGCUCUGGUCACAUGCACAUGCCCACACCUACCCUCAGGAUCUCAGGUGGGUGCCUGGAUCGUCACACACUCACACACUCCACCCCAGGUGGUGAGCCCAGUGUGCAGAUCCUCACA
RNAcentral lists this small RNA (316 nucleotides) under Homo sapiens (human). RNAcentral describes it as "partial LSINCT4 non-coding RNA". The record is from RNAcentral. Lineage: Eukaryota; Metazoa; Chordata; Mammalia; Primates; Hominidae.